This 253-nucleotide ribosomal RNA is filed under the name uncultured bacterium. RNAcentral's name for it is "partial 16S ribosomal RNA". It matches the Rfam family "Bacterial small subunit ribosomal RNA", at positions 524 to 776 of the family's 1533-position model. The record is from RNAcentral.
UACGAAGGGGGCUAGCGUUGCUCGGAAUGACUGGGCGUAAAGGGCGUGUAGGCGGUCCGCUAAGUCUGAUGUGAAAGCCCGGGGCUCACCCCCGGAAGGGCAUUGGAAACUGACGGACUCGAGUCCCGAAGAGGAGGGUGGAAUUCCUGGUGUAGCGGUGAAAUGCGUAGAUAUCAGGAGGAACACCGGUGGCGAAGGCGGCCCUCUGGACGGUGACUGACGCUGAGACGCGAAAGCGUGGGGAGCAAACAGG